Molecule: ribosomal RNA, 490 nt
Filed under: uncultured bacterium
Lineage: Bacteria
Description: partial 16S ribosomal RNA
Rfam family: Bacterial small subunit ribosomal RNA
Source: RNAcentral
GAUGAACGCUCGCGAUAGGCUUAACACAUGCAAGUCGAGGGGCAGCAUGGUCUUAGCUUGCUAAGGCUGAUGGCGACCGGCGCACGGGUGCGUAACGCGUAUGCAACUUGCCUCACAGAGGGGGAUAACCCGUCGAAAGACGGACUAAUACCGCGUACACUCUAUGUUGGGCAUCCAAUGUAGUGGAAAUGAAAUUCGCUGUGAGAUAGGCAUGCGUCCCAUUAGCUAGUUGGUGAGGUAACGGCUCACCAAGGCGACGAUGGGUAGGGGAAGUGAGAGGUUGAACCCCCACACUGGUACUGAGACACGGACCAGACUCCUACGGGAGGCAGCAGUGAGGAAUAUUGGUCAAUGGGCGAGAGCCUGAACCAGCCAAGUCGCGUGAAGGAUGACUGUCUUAUGGAUUGUAAACUUCUUUUAUACGGGAAUAACAAGAGUCACGUGUGGCUCCCUGCAUGUACCGUAUGAAUAAGCAUCGGCUAACUCCGUG